This 447-nucleotide long non-coding RNA is filed under the name Homo sapiens (human). RNAcentral describes it as "non-protein coding lnc-SH2D1B-3:1". Lineage: Eukaryota; Metazoa; Chordata; Mammalia; Primates; Hominidae. The record is from RNAcentral.
CCCCGCAGUGGUCAGAAUAUGGAGAACUUCUCACUCCUCAGCAUCUCUGGACCUCCAAUCUCUUCCUCCGCCCUGAGUGCUUUUCCCGACAUUAUGUUCUCUCGUGCCACCAGCCUGCCAGGUAAACUUUGGUGCCACUAGGGCCACAAAGAUGUGGUUUUUUUUGAAGCUUUUAAUUGAGUACCCUACCAGAUCAUGUUACAGGACCAUGAUUUAGUGAGAAAGUCAAAUUACGCAUGGGGAGAAAAUAAUUUUUCAAAAUGCUGCAUUUGUGACUGCAGCUUGGGGGAUACCCAGCACGGAGAGAAGCUGAGGCGGAACUGCACUAUCUACCGGCCCUGGUUCUCCCCCUACAGCUACUUCGUGUGUGCAGACAAAGAGAGCCAGCUGGAGGCCUAUGACUUCCCAGAGGUGCAGCAGGAUGAGGGCAAGUGGGACAACUGCCUU